UCGAGAAUUUUUCUCAAUGGGCGAAAGCCUGAAGGAGCGACGCCGCGUGGGGGAUGAAGGGCUUCGGUCCGUAAACCCCUGUCAUUUGCGAACAAACCUUAUGAAUGAACAAUUCAUGAGCUGAUUGUAGCGAAAGAGGAAGGGACGGCUAACUCUGUGCCAGCAGCCGCGGUAAUACAGAGGUCCCAAGCGUUGUUCGGAUUCACUGGGCGUAAAGGGUGCGCAGGUGGUUUGGCAAGUUUGACGUGAAAGCCCCGGGCUUAACCCGGGAAUGGCGUUGAAAACUGUUUGAACUGGAGGAUUGGAGGGGGGACUGGAAUUCUUGGUGUAGCAGUGAAAUGCGUAGAUAUCAAGAGGAACACCAGUGGCGAAGGCGAGUCCCUGGACAAUACCUGACACUGAGGCACGAAAGCCAAGGGAGCAAACAG
This 428-nucleotide ribosomal RNA is filed under the name uncultured bacterium. RNAcentral's name for it is "bacterial SSU rRNA". It matches the Rfam family "Bacterial small subunit ribosomal RNA", at positions 355 to 775 of the family's 1533-position model. The record is from RNAcentral.